UUUAGGGCCGUGACCACAGAGGCUAAGCGACGGCUACCGUCAGUGUUCGUGGAGAGGUGAAGUCAGACUUCUGCUGGCUGCCCCGUGUACCACAAGGCUGAGUCCUCCCACGCAGACAGGUGCGAACAUUGCAAAGAUUUGCUAAAUACUGAAUACCUACAGAGCCGUGGAUUAGAGAAGCAAGAAAGUGAUGCCAGGCAGUCCUGGAAAACAAAUACUGCAUGAGAGUGUUUUCAAAGGAGGAUAUUAUGGUUAUGUGGCAAUAUUAAAAAUGAGGAGAAGUUCAUCGCUUCACUCAACAAAUAUUCACUAUGUUCUGCUCCGUGGCAUGAACUGGGCCUGGGACAGCAGAAGUGGAGGAGACUGGCCUGGCUUCAGCCUUCAGGAAUCAUAUAGUCUGUGGAGACAAAGAGUGAUGUCUGUACAACAGAAAGGAAGAGAAAGUUUAGGAGAGCACAGAUGGAGGCAGAGGGGACAUGCACAUUUCCCAGAGGGACAAAAGUGAACCUGAAGGUCCAAAGGAUGGAUGCGAGCAAUGCAAAGUGUGCUGUGGGGGUUUUGGAGAGCAUUCCAGACACAGGAAGAACAGAAGGGCCACCCUCUAGGGACCAGUGGUCUGCACAGAGCACAGAGGUGCCAGCAGAGCAGUGCUCAGUGCUCCUUACCCAGUGCUCCUCGAACUUCGCUGUGAAUGCAAACCAUCUGGGAAUCGUGUGAAAAGGCAGAUGUGGAUCCAGUAGGUCUGCCGUGGGGUCUGAGAUUCUGCAUUUCUAACAAGCACCUAGGCGCUUCUGUUGCUCUCUGGCUGGGACCACACUUUGAAUAGGAAGUCCUUGAAGAGCCAGGAAAGGCCCCAGACCAGUUGGCUUCCAAGCCACGAGCAACUUUGUCCCUUUAUUCCAGUGUGCCAUGCAAAUAUUACAUGUUUUUCUGCUGACAGGGAAAAACUUAGGAAGCAGUGUUGUAGAAGACAAUGACAUAAUGCAUUUCAAUAUACUUUCAAAGGCAACAACAUUAAUUGGAUUGGCCAGGGAUCUGGCGUACUGGGUUAGAUCUUCCUUAUUUUUAAAGCUAAUAGCUUUGAGGGUCGUAUUUUAAACUAGGUACCAUGUAAAUUUGUCUUCUCUCACUUAUAGGAACUUGUAUUUUUUAUAGUAUUAGCAGAAAGUUCUCCUUGUUUUCUUUUCUUUGAUGGGGAGCAAAUAAAGUGUCCUGGGGAGUCUGUCUUCACAUUUGCCAGGGGUCCUGUGAAGCAGAAUUCUACAACUACAUGCCUAUCCUAAUUCCACAUGGGCAGAGCCACACUCAUUCUGUUCAGCAUGACAUCAUUCACUGGAGCAUUCUACGUCGCACAGUCAUAUUUGUUGGGUGGAUUAGCUUUCCAUGCAAUGGAUUAAUCAUCCUCUGGGGUUCUUUAACCUUUUCCUUUGAGAAGGUGGAUUUUGGUUUCCCUUGUGUUCGGCAUCAUGGGCCAACGAAUGCAAAUGAUCAUGUGGCUCUCUUGCCAUUGGAACUCCUGUGGAUCGGUGGCUCUCAAGCUUUCGUGUGCUUCUCAGUUACGUUAGGAACUUGGUUGAAAUACAGUUUCCUGGUCUUAUUCGUGGAGAACAUGAGUUAGUCAAUUCAGGGCAUGGUCCAGCAACCCUUAUUUUAUUUUUUUCAAGCUCCAAAUUGCUUCUUGACAGGUGGACUCUAGACCACCCUUUGAGAAACGCUGCUUCAGUGGGCCACAGUACAUGAACGUGGCCCAGGAGUAACUGUUGGGAACGUUCCAUAAUACUCAGAGCAUCCUGUAAGGAGACAUGAAGGCUCUGAGUCGUAAGAAGUUGUGAGGCUAAGAAUGGUCACUGUUAGUCAUGAUGCACUAAGAGACGUGAGCUUUUUGUCCCAGGUUUCCAGUUUGAGCUUAGGUUUUCAAUUUAAUUUCUUUCAUUAGGGGUUUUUCUUUUC
Molecule: long non-coding RNA, 1950 nt
Organism: Acinonyx jubatus (cheetah)
Lineage: Eukaryota; Metazoa; Chordata; Mammalia; Carnivora; Felidae
Exons: 4
Source: RefSeq, a predicted model, not a curated record